CGCCAGGAUAGGCGAACGACCACCAAACCCACGGCCACUGCUGGCCAAGAGGCAAGGCAAAAUGUAACUGGAACCACUUUGAGCUACUCCUUUGGGCCAGGCCCUGCACUUUGUGAAGAAGCAACCAAGUAUUUAGGGAACAUAACGAAUAAGAUCUGCCCUGCGGCGGAAAGAGCAAACACAGGACUCAGCGUCAAGCAGAUGUGGCCUCAGAUCCCAGCUUCACAACAAGCUGCCUGACUUUGGGGCCAAGCAUCUCAUCUAAUUUCAUCUUGACCUGCGUCAUACAUGUUAUUCUUUUCAUUCGACAAGUACACAUUGAGCACUGAUCAUGUCCGAAGCUGUGACAAGUUCAGGGAAUACAAUCAAUAACGACCAG
Long non-coding RNA from Orcinus orca (killer whale), 379 nucleotides. RefSeq lists it as uncharacterized. NCBI's taxonomy places the organism in Eukaryota, Metazoa, Chordata, Mammalia, Artiodactyla, Delphinidae. The record is from RefSeq and is a predicted model, not a curated record. The transcript is spliced from 3 exons.